RNAcentral lists this ribosomal RNA (546 nucleotides) under uncultured bacterium. RNAcentral's name for it is "bacterial SSU rRNA". It matches the Rfam family "Bacterial small subunit ribosomal RNA", at positions 55 to 598 of the family's 1533-position model. The record is from RNAcentral.
AUGCAAGUCGAACGAAGCUUGACGGAUGAUUUCUUCGGAAUGAAACCAGAUAUGACUUAGUGGCGGACGGGUGAGUAACACGUGAGCAACCUGCCUUUCAGAGGGGGAUAACGGCUGGAAACGGUCGCUAAUACCGCAUGAUGUGUUCGGAUGGCAUCAUCUGAACAUCAAAGAUUUAUCGCUGAAAGAUGGGCUCGCGUCUGAUUAGAUAGUUGGUGGGGUAACGGCCUACCAAGUCGACGAUCAGUAGCCGGACUGAGAGGUUGAACGGCCACAUUGGGACUGAGAUACGGCCCAAACUCCUACGGGAGGCAGCAGUGGGGAAUAUUGGGCAAUGGAGGAAACUCUGACCCAGCAACGCCGCGUGGAGGAAGAAGGUUUUCGGAUCGUAAACUCCUGUCCUUGGAGACGAGUAGAAGACGGUAUCCAAGGAGGAAGCCCCGGCUAACUACGUGCCAGCAGCCGCGGUAAUACGUAGGGGGCAAGCGUUGUCCGGAAUAAUUGAGCGUAAAGGGCGCGUAGGCGGCUCGGUAAGUCUGGAGUGAA